GAUCAUGGCUCAGGAUGAACGCUAGCUACAGGCUUAACACAUGCAAGUCGAGGGGCAGCAUGGUCUUAGCUUGCUAAGACUGAUGGCGACCGGCGCACGGGUGAGUAACGCGUAUCCAACCUGGCCCAUAGUAGGGAACAGCCCGGCGAAAGUCGGAUUAAUGCCCUAUGUUAUCCGUAGACGGCAUCAGAUGCGGAGCAAAGAUUUAUCGCUAUGGGAUGGGGGAUGCGUCUGAUUAGGUAGUAGGCGGGGCAACGGCCCACCUAGCCGACGAUCAGUAGGGGUUCUGAGAGGAAGGUCCCCCACAUUGGAACUGAGACACGGUCCAAACUCCUACGGGAGGCAGCAGUGAGGAAUAUUGGUCAAUGGGCGUGAGCCUGAACCAGCCAAGUAGCGUGAGGGAAGACGGCCCUACGGGUUGUAAACCUCUUUUGUACGGGAAUAAAGUGCGGGACGCGUCCCGUUUUGUAUGUACCGUAAGAAUAAGGACCGGCUAAUUCCGUGCCAGCAGCCGC
This 515-nucleotide ribosomal RNA is filed under the name uncultured bacterium. Its description in RNAcentral is "bacterial SSU rRNA". It matches the Rfam family "Bacterial small subunit ribosomal RNA", at positions 15 to 518 of the family's 1533-position model. The record is from RNAcentral.